Molecule: small RNA, 145 nt
Filed under: Alicyclobacillus acidocaldarius
Lineage: Bacteria; Bacillati; Bacillota; Bacilli; Caryophanales; Alicyclobacillaceae
Also listed under: 1 other name
Description: c-di-AMP sequence
Rfam family: c-di-AMP riboswitch aptamer (ydaO/yuaA leader)
About the family: This family represents a conserved RNA structure found upstream of the ydaO and yuaA genes in Bacillus subtilis and related genes in other bacteria. The ydaO/yuaA element is thought to act as a genetic "off" switch for the ydaO and yuaA genes in its native state.
Source: RNAcentral
ACCAAGAUCACGCCGAAUCCUGCAAAGCGCAGGUACGGGGGACAAGCGGGCUUCAUGCCCAGGGGUGAAUUGCGCCAUCGGCGCAUAGGGGGACUCUUCCACCCGAACCCGUCAACUAACCUCGGAGGCUACAGGAGGAGAAGCA